Apis cerana (Asiatic honeybee) is the source of this 935-nucleotide long non-coding RNA. RefSeq lists it as uncharacterized. The record is from RefSeq and is a predicted model, not a curated record. NCBI's taxonomy places the organism in Eukaryota, Metazoa, Arthropoda, Insecta, Hymenoptera, Apidae.
CAGAUAAUUAACUAUUAAAAUAACUGUCAAGGCGGGAAAAAAUUUUCAAUAUGGACGCCAUAAUAACCGUUUGACAAAAUGAUCAAUCGGAGAAAUAAUAUUUGAUUUCUCGUAUCAAAAAUUGUAACUGCGCGCAAUGCAGUCAAUAGAGUCAGUGUUUGCUUCGUAAUAGUUUUUAAAUAUUUUAAAUAUUUUUUAAAACGUAACAUUUCAAUUUAAUUGCAUUCGCGAAAUUAGAAUCAGUGUUUGUUCAUCAAUUACAAUAUAAAUAGAUGGAUUGAUAGUUUUUUAUUUUUAUUUUAUUUUAAAUAUAGUAGAAUCAGUAUUUCAAAAGAGAUCAUUCAUCACACGAAGAGUUGCCCAUUUUCUCUUAUUUGAUGAUGACUUCAUUGUGAUUUCACAAUAAGGAUGAGUCAGCAUUAAUGGCAAUGCAAAUUCUUCUCAUCUAAUGGUGAGUCGCAUGCUUUUUGGUUCCUCCAGUCACUCAAUCAUGUCGUAGGACAAAAGGUCCGAAUCGACACGGUAGUUUAUCUAGAAUAUUGCACGAGUACAAUGACCAUAGAUAUUUAUUGUAUAGUAAUAAUAUUUCAUUAUUUAUUAGUUUAGGAUAGGUCUUCUUGCAUACCGGGUUUUAUUAUUUUGAUUUUGCUACAGUAAUUUGUAAAAUUAAAUCAAUACAUGAAUAUUUGUAAAAUAAUCAUAUGAAUAUACAUUUAUAAUAAGAAUAAAAUUGAAACAAAUAAAAAAUAUUGAAAUGAUUUUAAUGAAUAUUAUUUUUAUUUUCUACGUAGAAAAAUGUAAAUUUUAUAUGCAAGAAGACAUUUCGCGACAGUAAAUUUCUAAAUCAAGGCAACACAAGGUUUGAUCAUUCCUUUCGCAUUUUCGAAAAUGUGCUUUGAUGAAGAGAUCAUCUGAGGAUAUUUUAAUUAAUAUUU